GCGGAGCACGGGGAUACACAGCAGAUGUGUCUUCCAUAAACCUGUUUGGGGUGGCUCUGCCUCAAGCGUCCGGAAGUUCUCUGAGACCAACAUCGCCACUCAGGACCUGGAAAGCAGACUAUAAAGUGGAAGAAAGGAAGGAAGGAAGGAAGGAAGAAGGAAAGAAAGUAGCAUAGUGACCAGACCUCAGGAUCUAACACGAGACAGCAGCCCAGUUUCACAGGCAUACUGGACUUGAAAUGAUCAAGGUCAUCUGAAAAUCCUUCCUAAGGAACGUUAAGUGUAAGGAAGAUCAUCUUUGGGAACUUUACGUCCUAGCUACACUUGUUUCAAGCAGUGUUUGCUGAAUGAGUGAAGAAGGAACGAAUGAAUAAUAACCAAUGAAGGAAGGACUGGCAACAGGAAGGGAAGCGUUGACUCACGUUUCAGCUACACAAAGUCAUUUCACAAAUGCUUUUCAAAAGCUUCUAAAGUGCUUUUUUGCUUCCUUAUAUGAUUAACUUUAAACUAAAGCAGAUAUUUUCCCUUGACCUAUUUUCAAAGCUAAUCUUUAAAUCCCUUGGUUACA
Long non-coding RNA from Erinaceus europaeus (western European hedgehog), 568 nucleotides. RefSeq lists it as uncharacterized. The transcript is spliced from 4 exons. The record is from RefSeq and is a predicted model, not a curated record. Lineage: Eukaryota; Metazoa; Chordata; Mammalia; Eulipotyphla; Erinaceidae.